This 31-nucleotide non-coding RNA is filed under the name Mus musculus (house mouse). Lineage: Eukaryota; Metazoa; Chordata; Mammalia; Rodentia; Muridae. The record is from RNAcentral.
UGGGCUUAAGGCAUGAGAUACCAUGCUUGCU